This 452-nucleotide ribosomal RNA is filed under the name uncultured bacterium. RNAcentral describes it as "partial 16S ribosomal RNA". It matches the Rfam family "Bacterial small subunit ribosomal RNA", at positions 28 to 507 of the family's 1533-position model. The record is from RNAcentral.
GAUGAACGCUGGUGGCGUGCCUAACACAUGCAAGUCGAGCGAUUCUCUUCGGAGAAGAGCGGCGGACGGGUGAGUAACGCGUGGGUAACCUGCCCUGUACACACGGAUAACAUACCGAAUGGUAUGCUAAUACGAGAUAUCAUGCUUUUAUCGCAUGGCAGCAGUAUCAAAGCUUUUGCGGUACAGGAUGGGCUCGCGUCUGAUUAGCUACUUGGUGGGGUAACGGCACAGCAAGGCGUGGAACAGUAGCCGACCUGUGAGGGUGAUCGGCCACAUUGGAGAUGAGACACGGUCCAAACUCCUACGGGAGGGAGCAGUGGAGAAUAUUGCAGGAGGGGCGAAAACCUGAUGCAGCAGCGCGGGGUGAGCGAGGAAGGGGGUCGGGAAGUAAAGCUGUGUGCGCAGGGGAGAUAAUGACGGUACUUGAGGAGGAAGCCCCGGCUAACUACGUG